GAUGAACGCUGGCGGCGUGCCUAAUACAUGCAAGUCGAGCGAACAGACGAGGAGCUUGCUCCUCUGACGUUAGCGGCGGACGGGUGAGUAACACGUGGAUAACCUACCUAUAAGACUGGGAUAACUUCGGGAAACCGGAGCUAAUACCGGAUAAUAUAUUGAACCGCAUGGUUCAAUAGUGAAAGACGGUUUUGCUGUCACUUAUAGAUGGAUCCGCGCCGCAUUAGCUAGUUGGUAAGGUAACGGCUUACCAAGGCAACGAUGCGUAGCCGACCCGAGGGGGGGAUACGCCCAACAGGAAAUGAGGACACGGACAGAACCACAACGGAGGGAGGAGGGGGGAAGUUGUCCGAAAGGGGGAAAGGCUGAACAAGCCAUACCGGGGGGGGGAAGAAAGGUUUUCGGUUGUAAAGCCCUUGUGAUGAGAAAGAAACAAAUGAGUAAAAAACACCGCUGUUCUGGACGUACCCAAAGAAGAAGCACCGGCCAAACUCGU
This 496-nucleotide ribosomal RNA is filed under the name uncultured bacterium. RNAcentral describes it as "partial 16S ribosomal RNA". It matches the Rfam family "Bacterial small subunit ribosomal RNA", at positions 28 to 506 of the family's 1533-position model. The record is from RNAcentral.